UUUUAAUCAUCCCAAUUUUUUUGUCUUACCACAGUUAAGAAAUACGAUUCAUGUUUGCUAUUGCAUUUGGAGCUCCAUCCUUACAACUUAUGGAUAAUAUGAAUACAUCAAGGUGUUUUGGUUCUCCCCAUUCUGUAUGUUCGCAAUGGAGUGUAUAUAUUGUUGAUUUAUGUCAUGGUGAUUGAAUUUGAUUGCAGAGAGAAAGUGCAAAAGCUAUGGGCAAUCCUAUAUGACUGGCGCCAUCAGUAAGGAUUUAUUUAAAGCUAGCUUACUUUUGGGUCUAAGCCAAGUUUAUUUCUUUCGCAGAUUUAUUCACCUUAUUGGGACGGUGGGGUUAAUAUAUAUACAUCAACUUUGAGCAUCAGCAACGCAUGAAGCUUGCUUCUGAGGCUGCAACAUACUUUGCAAUCCCCCUGUGAAACAUACUUUUGUCACUAUGCACAUAUGAGGUUGUUGAAGGGAGAUGGGGCUCUUCAGGCCCCUUUGGUGCAAAAGCACAAGCAACAGCAUCUACAGCUGACCACUCAUAGCCUAGGAUGUCCUGCAGAUUUGAUCUAUUUUGGAUAGAGUACAUGGAAUCAAACCACAGGAUACCCAAGCAGUGCGUACAAAUUGUAGUGGUGCUUGUAGCUUAUCAUCAAUCUGCCAUUAUUAUUUGUAUGUUGAAUGGGCGCUUUAUAUUUUAGGGCGGAAGACUGAAGCAAAGAAAACUGCGGCUCUUUAGUAUAUCUUCAGAUUUGCGGCUCUUUGAGCUGUGGUACAUUUGAUUCGAGACCCAGAUGAGGUUGGUUUUACGUUUCUUAUUGGAAGAGUGAGAUGCCCAGGACAGAAUCCAGUUUGUAUCAACGCCUCAUUGAAUAGAAUCAUGUAGAUUCUGCUUCUUCAUAAAGAAAUAGUUUUAAGGGAGGACUUCAAAGAGUAUUUUGCCAAAUUUGGUAAAGUGCGGGGAUGGAGGGCAGUCAGCAUCCACCUCGAGGCAGAGGGGUGGGCAGAAGGACGGUCGGUGUUCAACUCUCUACGGUUCAAAACCAAGUCCAUCCAAGCCUCAAAGUAUAAAGAAGGCGCCUAGACACUCGAUGGGUGGUGUAAACCGUAGGGUGUCCAUUGGUGGAGCCACGAUGCAAGCAUCCAAAACAGACAUAUUGUAUACGAAGAAUGUUCAUGCUGCCAAGAGAAGUGAAGACAUUGCCCAUUUGUCCCCUGGGUGGGCGUGUAACUAGAAAACAAAACACUAUGGCGGCAAAUGAGACUAUCGAACCGAACUGAUUGUACUGAAAACUAGGACCUAAACUUGUGCUACUGGCCAACCUUUUCUUCAGGGAAUGCCAAGAUAUUUGCCAAACAAAGCCAUAGGAUGGUGCUAUACACAGAGGACAACCUAUCAGGUGAGAAUCGAUUCGUGGCUCUUUCUCUUUUUUGAACUGGUCGUUAUGUGGUUCUUGGGGACUCGCACUCUGUUUUGUUUCUUUUUUUACCUCCUAUUUAUGGGCUCCCUUCUGUUAGGGAGUCCACUAAUGACCAGAUGGGUAUCUUGUCGCUCAUCUACAGCAAGUCGGGCUCCAGUGUGUUUGGGUCAGCGUCCACGCAGGAGCAGAUAACUGACGGCAUUUACGCUGCCGGGCUCACUAUCCUCAUCACACGUGACCACAACCCACCCAACCGACUGUUACAAUGGUCGUGGAGCUUCUUGGAUUAAACUUGCAAAGAGUAGUACUGGAAAGCUUCAUUUUCGUAAGAUGCUCUGGUAUUUCCGAGUAGAAGAAAGCAAAGCCAACAAGGGUCGUUAGAAAUUAUUAGUACUCUACAAAAUUUGUAACACAUCAUAUUAAUUGGGAACUCAAAUCUUGGUUGCAAAAAUUAGAUCUGUGCUAUAAAUGCAGGCAAUACAAAAGGCAGGAAGACCAUACGAAGACCAAUACAAAAAGGAGGAUGCAUGAGCUUCAGAUCUGAUUGAAUUUAGUCGGAAGAUGGAGACUUGAAGGAGGAAUUAGUGGAGAAUAGGAAGGU
This is a long non-coding RNA of Triticum aestivum (bread wheat), 2007 nucleotides long. RefSeq lists it as uncharacterized. The transcript is spliced from 10 exons. Lineage: Eukaryota; Viridiplantae; Streptophyta; Magnoliopsida; Poales; Poaceae. The record is from RefSeq and is a predicted model, not a curated record.